This 585-nucleotide ribosomal RNA is filed under the name uncultured bacterium. Its description in RNAcentral is "partial 16S ribosomal RNA". It matches the Rfam family "Bacterial small subunit ribosomal RNA", at positions 355 to 1375 of the family's 1533-position model. The record is from RNAcentral.
UGGGGAAUUUUGGACAAUGGGCGAAAGCCUGAUCCAGCAAUGCCGCGUGUGUGAAGAAGGCCUUCGGGUUGUAAAGCACUUUUGUCCGGAAAGAAAUCCUUGGCUCUAAUACAGUCGGGGGAUGACGGUACCGGAAGAAUAAGCACCGGCUAACUACGUGCCAGCAGCCGCGGUAAUACGUAGGGUGCAAGCGUUAAUCGGAAUUACUGGGCGUAAAGCGUGCGCAGGCGGUUUGCUAAGACCGAUGUGAAAUCCCCGGGCUCAACCUGGGAACUGCAUUGGUGACUGGCAGGCUAGAGUACGGCAGAGGGGGGUAGAAUUCCACGUGUAGCAGUGAAAUGCGUAGAGAUGUGGAGGAAUACCGAUGGCGAAGGCAGCCCCCUGGGCCAAUACUGACGCUCAUGCACGAAAGCGUGGGGAGCAAACAGGAUUAGAUACCCUGGUAGUCCACGCCCUAAACGAUGUCAACUAGUUGUUGGGGAUUCAUUUCCUUAGUAACGCAGCUAACGCGUGAAGUUGACCGCCUGGGGAGUACGGUCGCAAGAUUAAAACUCAAAUGAAUUGACGGGGUCAUAGCUGUUUCCU